GAGAUAGGUAAGACGUGUGGGUGAGAACCGUCAAGGUUCGAGUCGAGCGAAAGCGAGACAACGUUGCGAAGCAACGGCCCGAAGGGCGAGGCGUAAGCCGAGUCAUCCCGCACGACCCACCA
RNAcentral lists this small RNA (122 nucleotides) under Hafnia alvei. RNAcentral describes it as "RtT sRNA". It matches the Rfam family "RtT RNA". From Rfam's summary of the family: This family represents a bacterial cis-regulatory element known as RtT RNA. The exact function of RtT is unknown although it is thought that it may be involved in changing the cellular response in relation to amino acid starvation. The record is from RNAcentral. Lineage: Bacteria; Pseudomonadati; Pseudomonadota; Gammaproteobacteria; Enterobacterales; Hafniaceae.